UGAUUAUUCGUUGACCAGGCCAA
Molecule: non-coding RNA, 23 nt
Filed under: Arabidopsis thaliana (thale cress)
Lineage: Eukaryota; Viridiplantae; Streptophyta; Magnoliopsida; Brassicales; Brassicaceae
Source: RNAcentral